UUAUAACGUGAGCGCGCGCAGAGGAGGAAUCAUACUGUUUCUGUACUGAAUACUAAAGAUUAUAAGAGCAGAGCUCCUCUAGUAUAUUUGCUGAAUACUGCAGAAGAACCUGUGGGCGAUGUGGCCAGAUGCAGAAGCCCUGGCGGUCCGCGGCCUGCAGAGGGAAUCCACCAUGUCAGCCACUGCUCAUCCCAUAAAGACCAGAGAGACGUGAGCUGUGAACUGGGCUCUGGCUUUCCGUGCUCUCAGAAGCAAUUCAGGGAGGCGCCCCUCAGGCGCAAAGGUGGCCACGGUGGGUGCCGGAGUUCGGACAGGCCAUGGGGCUGCCAGAGGUGGGACGGGCGAGCGGUGGGUGCUGGAGGUCGGAAGAGGACACGCCGCCGAGAGAACAAAGGGGGACCCGGCAUGGGACGGUGGCCGAGAACAAAGAAGGACCAUUGAAGACUUUGUGACUUUGUCGACACCCUCUUUACAUACUUUGUGUAUGGAAUGCAAAACAAAGAAUUUCACUGUGACAUAUCACAUGUGAUAUUAAACUAUCAAUCUAUUAAACAAUCACUCUUGCAAUGGAUAGAAGUAUCAAAUAUGUAAUAAUACAUUGGUGACACUUCAGACUGGGAUCAUCUAUGGAAAGGAUGAGAUGAUAAGAACUUUUCCAUAUCAAAGAUGUUUUACAGUAAAGCUUUACCAGAACCUCCCAGAUUGUCACUAUUCCACACAUAUUUCCCUUUGAAGAUCUAAAACAUCAUUGGAGAGAGCAAUUCAUUGGAUAACAAAUGGGAAAUAAUGCAGCUUCCAAACAUCUGACAUAUAAACAGAAAAGGCUGAAAAUAUUCACUACGACAGGCAGCAUCUGCAGAGAGAAACAACAUUAUGACUUUGCCAAGAGAAUUUCAAUCAUGGACAGAAGCAUGAAUGUACAACAGUAAGAUUAACAGAGCAGCAGUAUGUCUUUGUGGCGAUGGAGGUGUGGGUUUGUUUAAAUUCUUGAGAAUUUGAUUCAGUACUCAUAACUUACACAUUUGAAUUAGUUAUGGGUGAAUUCAAAACACCAGCAACUCUGCCUAUAAAUUAUCCAAGAACUACUGUAGUAAAUGUCCGCACAGUCAAGACUCUUGUCACAGUGAGAUGUUGACCCUCGACACAUGGAGGCACUGGAUUUAAUUCUGCUGAAGGCACUCUUGUUGAGCGGCAAACUGCACAAGCUCAACCAUCAUCAGCUGGACGGCCUCUGGCUCAUAAUGCAGCAUCAGAAAACAAAAACCCGUGGAUACACUUGAAAAGACAAUAAUUUCAAAGAAGUUCCACAUGUACGUUCAAACAUAGUGCUUCCCUUGUAUUGUCAUUCAGAGUAUAAUAUUGUGCUGCAGGAGCAAACUGCGAUUAGUAGAUGUGUAUUUAAUGCCAUAUAUGUUCUUGCUGUGAGUCAAGGCAUGAUUCUGCAAAUACUGAAGUGGGUUUUGUCCUGACUGCUCUCUGGCAGAUCUGUACUCAUCUGGUGAAAUGGGAGAGAGAAAAUGUGGACGGUGUUUGUAGCACACUUUGAAAAAAUUGCACCUGCAUCUGCUCUUAGUUUAGAGAUACAGCAUUGAAACAGGCCCUUUAGACUACCGAGUCCAUGCUGACCUUGAAUCACUCUUCUCACUAAUGCUGUUAUCCCACUUUCUCAUCCACUCUCUGGGGUCAAGGAAAGAGCAUUCACGUCACGGCCCUGUUUCCACCAAUCUUUCCACCAAAGAUCUUAGAGCAGAGAUCUUUGCUUUCCACCACCACGCACAAGAAACGACAAGACAGAUACCAUUGUAUGCAGAUGCAUACGUUGUACGCAGCUCUGGCUUAACAACUUCUAAUAUGUAAGUUAUUGGGGCAAAUCCUCCAAAAUUAUGGAAGAACUCGGAUAAGGACAUGGAUAUUUUAAUGGCUGCAACGAAAAAAACCCCAAUCCACAAACCUGUCUGCCCUGUGGACUUGGGCAUCACACAAAUAUGCGAAUGAUGUGGACAGGAAAGGCUGAGACGGAGAUAACGAGAUUAUCUUGGAUACACAAAGGAAGGAACCAAGCCUCAGCAGACGGUGGUAAACAGGCCAGCCCAAGCUCAAUCACCAUCUUGGAUGACCCAUCCAUCAAGACAAUAGGAGCCCAUCCAGGCGAUGGGAUAACGAUCAGGCUGAGGGAUCAUGACAUCAGCAAACCCCUUAUCAUCGGAAGCCUAUUGUUCAUGCCAGAUCGAAACUGGGAAUCAUCAAAAGAACCCUUUUAUCCAGAGGACCACCUGGGGGUUUCAAAGGAAGCUCAGGUAUAAAACAGGAGUCAAGCCAGAACUCUUUCUCUUUUUCUGCUCUGCUGGACGGCUCGUGAGACCAACUGUAAGUACCCUAGUGACCUGGUGAAAUUCCCGAAAUAGGCUAGAGGUUGAGAAGAAGGGGAAAGGGGGUACUUGCAAGUAAAAUUGUGUAAAGUAAGUUUUACGACAUGCCCGAUAGUUUUCCGUCCAUAGUCUUAGUUUAAAGCAUAAGUUUAGCCACGUAUUAUGUAGUGUUGGUGAGAUUCAAUUUCUCAUUGUUUAAUAAAGCCUGUAAAUUUUAGACUUG
Long non-coding RNA from Leucoraja erinaceus (little skate), 2592 nucleotides. RefSeq lists it as uncharacterized. The record is from RefSeq and is a predicted model, not a curated record. Lineage: Eukaryota; Metazoa; Chordata; Chondrichthyes; Rajiformes; Rajidae. The transcript has 2 exons.